ACACGUAUGAAAGUCAAGCUGAAAGACUUUACUCAAUGAUGUAAGUGGUGGUGCAUGGUCGUUCUUAGUUCGUGGAUUGAUUUGUCUGGUCUAUUCCGAUAACGAGCGAGACCCUGGCGUUCCUAAUAGGGGCAGCAGCCCAGCCAGCCGCAAGGUUGGCUAGCUAGCUAUCUUUUCUCUGCUUCUUAGACGUAUCAGAGCCGAUAAGGUUCUUGAAAUGGGUUAAUAACAGGUCAGUCAUGCCCUUAGAUGUUCUGGGCCGCACGCGCGUUACAAUGGCAUGUAAAGCAAGUGCUUUAUUUUAAUACGGCUUCUCCGGGGCCGACAGGCUUUGGUAAUCAUUAAUCCCUGCCUUGACUGGGACAGAUCAUUGCAAUUAUUGGUCUCAAACGAGGAAUUUUUAGUAAUCGUAGGUCAUUACCCUGCGAUGA
This 431-nucleotide ribosomal RNA is filed under the name Physarum psittacinum f. fulvum. RNAcentral describes it as "SSU rRNA". It matches the Rfam family "Eukaryotic small subunit ribosomal RNA", at positions 1230 to 1644 of the family's 1831-position model. Lineage: Eukaryota; Evosea; Eumycetozoa; Physariida; Physaraceae. The record is from RNAcentral.